This 253-nucleotide ribosomal RNA is filed under the name uncultured bacterium. RNAcentral's name for it is "partial 16S ribosomal RNA". It matches the Rfam family "Bacterial small subunit ribosomal RNA", at positions 524 to 776 of the family's 1533-position model. The record is from RNAcentral.
UACGUAGGGGGCAAGCGUUGUCCGGAAUCAUUGGGCGUAAAGAGCGCGUAGGCGGCCCUGUAAGUCCGCUGUGAAAGUCGGGGGCUCAACCCUCGGAUGCCGGUGGAUACUGUCGGGCUUGAGUACGGAAGAGGCGAGUGGAAUUCCUGGUGUAGCGGUGAAAUGCGCAGAUAUCAGGAGGAACACCAAUAGCGAAGGCAGCUCGCUGGGACGGUAUUGACGCUAAGGCGCGAAAGCGUGGGGAGCAAACAGG